This 253-nucleotide ribosomal RNA is filed under the name uncultured bacterium. RNAcentral describes it as "partial 16S ribosomal RNA". It matches the Rfam family "Bacterial small subunit ribosomal RNA", at positions 524 to 776 of the family's 1533-position model. The record is from RNAcentral.
UACGUAUGGGGCAAGCGUUAUCCGGAUUUACUGGGUGUAAAGGGAGCGCAGGCGGCCUGGCAAGCCUGAUGUGAAAUACCGGGGCCCAACCCCGGGGCUGCAUUGGGAACUGCCAGGCUGGAGUGCCGGAGAGGCAGGCGGAAUUCCUAGUGUAGCGGUGAAAUGCGUAGAUAUUAGGAGGAACACCAGUGGCGAAGGCAGCCUGCUGGACGGUGACUGACGCUGAGGCUCGAAAGCGUGGGGAGCAAACAGG